This 524-nucleotide long non-coding RNA is filed under the name Bos taurus (domestic cattle). Its description in RNAcentral is "long non-coding RNA NONBTAT019662". Lineage: Eukaryota; Metazoa; Chordata; Mammalia; Artiodactyla; Bovidae. The record is from RNAcentral.
CUAUCAUCAUUUUGUAAGAGAGAUAGGAUCAUUUUUUGUAUGUUAUCAUAAACCAAUCUUCUGGUUAAAUGGAAAACAUAAAAGUAUCUGGAGUAGAUACAGGGAAAUACAUAAAUUUUUUCCCAGAUAGCACUCAGCAUACUUUCUUAGUAAUUUUUUAGUCAUGGAAUAUUAUUUUAUAUUGCCAGGCCUGCUGUCUUUAUUAGGCUCAAUUUUUGCAUAUAAAUUUUGGCAAAAAAGCAAACAAAACAAAACAAAAAACUAGCAGGAGAACUAGUGAAGAUGCAGGCAGGAGAGCAGCCACCCCAGAGUCAGGUCAUCUGCUGAACUCUGAAACCUUUAAAAUUUUCAGAGUGAAUACAGAAAUUGAACUAGGCAAUAAAGAUGGUGGUUUGCUAAUUAAGUUCUGUCUUAGCUGAUUCUGUGGAACUGAGGAAUAGGAUCUACCGUGAUUCUGCAACAAGGUAAGAAAGAAUAGGGAAGCACAUGUUCUUCCAACAUCUACACAGCUGUACUCCUACAUA